UGUCUUGUCUAGAGGGUCAAUUUAGACAAAACCAGAAACAAACAAAAAUCCCAGACUUGCUGUGGUAAUAUUAAUAUUUUUCCUUACUUGUAGGAAUAUAAAGAAUUGCAUUUUCUGUCCUCUUGAGGGUAAGCAUGACUAUGUAUCUUACUCUGGCAAACAAAAUGAAGGGAAAUUGACCUAUGUCUCUUCCUGGACAAUGGCCUUAAUUUUCCAUGUUCUCUUUCCCUGUUGCAGCAAACCCAAAAUCUCUGGAUGAGAAGGAAGUAUUCUAUGAUGAGGAACACCUGUCGACCUGGGUCUGGGGAGCAGAACUUCCCACCAAUCUGCAUUGGGCAUACGAAGAAGCUGAGAUAUAAGUCUUUGUUCUUUCCAGCCUCUGUGAUUGCUUUGUUGUUUGCUUCCAUAACCUAACCUAGCCUGUCCUGAUUGACACAUUUGCCUUGAAUGUACUAGACCAGCAUGUAAUACUGAACCUCAUAAACACUGACUGCCAUCCUGCUACAUUAGGAAUGAAAGCCAAGUUCUCUGUUCUCAGGACCUUCUGCUGAAUAUGUUUUGGUUUUUCCCUAGAAAAACUAGAACAUUAGACCAAAGAUUGGAGCCCUCCAGCCAAGUCUUGUCAACUUAUCUCCCCUGGAGACUGAAGAGUGCUCUAGGAUUGGACUGUCCUCCAACCAUGACAGCAAGCACUUCUACUUAUUAACUAUUUUUGCCAGAUGCUCCUUUUAUAUUGUUGCAGCAGUGGGAUUUUUGCCAGAACUGAACUCAGCCGCUUCCUUGGGAAUGUUGUCCAGUUGCUAAUUUCACUACCGGAACUGUGUUCCUUUGCGUCCUGGCCUAUUUCCAUGCAUGCUUCCACUGGAAUAAAGGGUCUGACAGUUCUGUGGAUAAUGGUAAACAUAUGCAGCCAAUGCUGUGCAGUUCUUUUAGAGCCAGAAAGCAUUAGUAGGUAUUUCAGUUGCUGGCAACAAAAAAAACAAUGUAAGGCACUUCAUCAAACACCAGAACCCAAAGAAAACUACACAUCAAUGAUUUUAAUACACAGCAAGUUUCUUCUUUCAUCCUUUCUUUUCUAAGUCAUUGGCUAAUUAAAAAUGAAAGUCAGACUAUUAUGACAACCUAAUUCCAAACUUUAAAACUACAGGGGAAAAGGUUGGAUUGCGAGGGAAAGAGAAUAUUACAACUUGUUUAUUUUGGAUACUAUUCCCAUUUCAAGUUAGGCUUUUUGAUUCUUUAAGUGUACAAGAGAACUUUGACUUUCCUGAGUACACAAGGGAAAAAUUACAUAUUGUGAUGUCAUUGCCUUGAGGAUUUCCCAUACCACUGAGUACAUUAGUCACACUGUCAAUGUCAAGGAGAUAUAAAAGAAAAAGGGGAAAAAGCAUAUUAUCUUCCUAUGAGAAUCAGUAAUGAUUUUUCUUUGGAUGCAUUUAUUCAAAAUUGUUUCCUAAAUUCCAGUGGAAUUUAAGAGAGCUAUUUUAAAACACAUAAUGACAUCUGUAGCAGGUCAUCUUGUGAUACUCUAUUACCAGCCUAAUAAAAACAUUACUAUGUAAUGGUAAAUAAGAAUA
Molecule: long non-coding RNA, 1574 nt
Organism: Vulpes vulpes (red fox)
Lineage: Eukaryota; Metazoa; Chordata; Mammalia; Carnivora; Canidae
Source: Ensembl